AACGAACGCUGGCGGCAUGCCUAACACAUGCAAGUCGAACGAGACCUUCGGGUCUAGUGGCGCACGGGUGCGUAACGCGUGGGAACCUGCCCUUAGGUUCGGAAUAACUCCCCGAAAGGGGUGCUAAUACCGGAUAAUGUCUUCGGACCAAAGAUUUAUCGCCUUUGGAUGGGCCCGCGUUGGAUUAGCUAGUUGGUAGGGUAAAAGCCUACCAAGGCGACGAUCCAUAGCUGGUCUGAGAGGAUGAUCAGCCACACUGGGACUGAGACACGGCCCAGACUCCUACGGGAAGCAGCAGUGGGGAAUAUUUGACAAUGGGCGAAAGCCUGAUCCAGCAAUGCCGCGUGAGUGAUGAAGGCCUUAGGGUUGUAAAGCUCUUUUACCCGGGAUGAUAAUGACAGUACCGGGAGAAUAAGCUCCGGCUAACUCCGUG
RNAcentral lists this ribosomal RNA (433 nucleotides) under uncultured bacterium. RNAcentral's name for it is "partial 16S ribosomal RNA". It matches the Rfam family "Bacterial small subunit ribosomal RNA", at positions 29 to 507 of the family's 1533-position model. The record is from RNAcentral.